RNAcentral lists this ribosomal RNA (141 nucleotides) under uncultured bacterium. RNAcentral describes it as "partial 16S ribosomal RNA". It matches the Rfam family "Bacterial small subunit ribosomal RNA", at positions 369 to 528 of the family's 1533-position model. The record is from RNAcentral.
UAAUGGGCGCAGCCUGAUCCAGCCAUGCCGCGUGAGUGAUGAAGGCCUUAGGGUUGUAAAGCUCUUUUAUCCGGGACGAUAAUGACGGUACCGGAGGAAUAAGCCCCGGCUAACUUCGUGCCAGCAGCCGCGAUAAUGUGC